GGCAAAAAAUAGCUAGCUCAGUCGGUUAGAGCGUCGUGCUAAUAACGCGAAGGUCACAGGUUCGAUCCCUGUGCAGGCCA
Molecule: transfer RNA, 80 nt
Filed under: Ixodes scapularis (black-legged tick)
Lineage: Eukaryota; Metazoa; Arthropoda; Arachnida; Ixodida; Ixodidae
Description: tRNA-Ile
Rfam family: tRNA (bases 12-75)
About the family: Transfer RNA (tRNA) molecules are approximately 80 nucleotides in length. Their secondary structure includes four short double-helical elements and three loops (D, anti-codon, and T loops).
Source: RNAcentral